Molecule: long non-coding RNA, 199 nt
Organism: Dermochelys coriacea (leatherback sea turtle)
Lineage: Eukaryota; Metazoa; Chordata; Testudines; Dermochelyidae
Exons: 3
Source: RefSeq, a predicted model, not a curated record
AGGAUAUCCUUUGGGAUGCGCCCAUCAUUCAUUUGGCACACAUGCCCAAGCCAGUGGAGGUGUCACUGUUUGAGGAGUGUUUGCGUGCUGGGUAUGGUGGCCCGUUUGAGCACCUCAGUGUUGGUGACUCUGUCCCUCCAAGAGAUUCCAAAGAUUUGACGAAGGCAACACAUAUGAAAGCUGGCACCAAGUGUUGACU